Molecule: ribosomal RNA, 4179 nt
Filed under: Triticum aestivum (bread wheat)
Lineage: Eukaryota; Viridiplantae; Streptophyta; Magnoliopsida; Poales; Poaceae
Description: partial small subunit ribosomal RNA
Source: RNAcentral
AUGAGCGAGGUGGAGAUGAUAGGCGAGGAGCAACAAGAGGUUAUAGAUGAUGGUUCGGAGGACGAGGAGGAGGCGCUCCCUCUCCAUUCGGAGCCGGUGCGGCGGCUGAGGGCGGCCGGCCGGCGGGGGCUGGUGCACGCCCUCGUCGCCGACGACGUCCACGGGGACAACCUCCGGCUGCUGCGGCGCCAGCGCCGCAGGAUGGACAGGGUGGGCGUGCGGCAGCCGACGGUGGAGGUGCGGUGGCGGGGCGUGCGCGUGGAGGCCGAGUGCCAGCUCGUCCGCGGCAAGCCGCUCCCCACGCUCCUCAACUCCGCCGUCUCCGGCCUCUCCCUGCUCACCACCAUGCUGGGGCUCAACCGUGGCCGAGAAAGGAUCUGCAUCCUCAAAGAUGUCACCGGCAUCCUAAAGCCUUCCAGGAUGACCCUGCUCCUUGGACCCCCGGGCUGUGGCAAAACCACCCUUCUGCAGGCACUUGCUGGAAAGCUCAACAAAAAUCUCAAGGUAACAGGGGAAAUUGAAUACAAUGGUGUCAAGCUGCAAGAUUUCGUUCCAGAGAAGACGGCAGCUUACGUUGGCCAGUAUGAUCUUCAUGUCCCUGAGAUGACCGUCAGGGAGACGCUCGACUUCUCCGCGAGAUUUCAGGGCGUUGGCAGCAGAGCAGAAAUCAUGAAGGAGGUCAUUAGAAGGGAGAAGGAGGCCGGGAUCACACCUGACCCCGACAUAGAUACUUACAUGAAGGCACUAUCUGUGGAAGGUUUGGAAAGAAGCAUCCAAACAGACUACAUUAUGAAGAUAAUGGGACUUGACACAUGCGCUGAUGUACUAGUCGGAGAUGCCAUGAGAAGAGGUAUUUCUGGCGGUGAGAAGAAAAGACUAACCACAGGAGAGAUGAUAGUAGGACCAUCGAAAGUGCUCUUCAUGGAUGAAAUAUCAACCGGGCUGGACAGCUCCACCACCUUCCAAGUUGUUUCUUGUCUCCAACAGCUAGCUCAUAUAUCAGAGUUUACCAUACUCGUCUCACUCCUUCAACCAACACCAGAGACCUACGAACUUUUUGACGAUAUUAUCUUGAUGGCUGAAGGACAAAUUGUAUACCAUGGCCCUAAGAGCUGCAUCAUGAGUUUCUUUGAAUCAUGUGGCUUCAAGUGCCCAGAAAGAAAAGGAAGUGCUGACUUCCUUCAAGAGGUCUUGUCAAAAAAGGAUCAACAACAAUACUGGAGCUGCACCAAAGAAAGAUAUAAUUUUGUUACAGUUGACCAAUUCUGUGAUAAGUUCAAAGCAUCUCAAACUGGUCAGAAUCUUGCUGAGGAGCUUUCAAAGCCGUAUGCUGAAUCAAAAGGGCAUAAGAAUGCCCUGUUCUUCAGUAUCUACUCAUUAUCCAAGUGGGAUCUCCUCAAGGCAUGUUUUGCACGUGAGCUUCUUCUUAUGAAAAGGAAUGCCUUCAUCCACAUAACAAAAGCCGCUCAGCUUGGACUAUUUGGUCUUAUUACUGGGACAGUAUUUCUGCGGACACGUAUGGGUGUUGACAGAAUUCAUGCCAACUAUUAUAUGGGUUCCCUCUUCUAUGCACUCCUGCUGCUGAUAGUGAAUGGAUUCCCUGACAUGGCCAUGACAAUCGAAAGACUGCCUGUCUUCUACAAACAUAGAGACAACUACUUCUAUCCUGCAUGGGCUUAUGCAAUACCAUCUUUUAUCCUAAAGAUUCCAUUCUCUUUAGUUGGGUCGGUAGCUUUGACAUCGAUAUCCUACUACUUGAUUGGCCAUACCCCAGAAGCAUCCAGGUUCUUCUGUCAGCUCCUCAUCCUCUUCCUGAUGCACACAGUAAUAUUAUCAAUGUUUCGUUGUGUCGCCUCAUACUGUCAAACAAUGGUGGCUGGUUCUGUCGGUGGUACUCUGGCAUUUCUAUUCACCCUUCUAUUUGGGGGUUUCUUAAUUCCUCGCUCAUUUCUGCCUAAUUGGCUAAAAUGGGUAUUUUGGGUAUCUCCAUUGUCUUACGCGGAGAUAGGCUUGACUGGAAAUGAGUUUUUGGCACCAAGAUGGUCAGAGAUCACAAUAUCCGGCGUAGCACUUGGAAGGAGGAUACUAAUGGAUCAAGGUCUAGACUUCCCCAGCUACUUCUACUGGAUCUCAAUUGGAGCAUUGCUUGGGUUUACUUUGUUGUUCAAUGUAGGCUUUGCCAUCUUCUUGACCAUUAAAAACCCAUCUUCUCGUGCUAUUAUCGCUUGCAAUAAUAUUACCGCAGUUGGUGGAAGAAACCAAGAUAAGGAUACGGAAAAUGGGAGGCCUAAGUUACAUGCAGAAACUUCAUGGCUACCCAAUAGCACUGCAGGGAGGAUGGUAUUGCCUUUCACACCCCUUACAAUAUCUUUCCAGGAUGUCAACUACUAUGUAGACACCCCCGCGGAAAUGAGGGAGCAUGGUUACAUGGAAACAAAACUGCAACUACUCCAUAAUAUCACAGGAGCAUUUCAGCCAGGGGUUCUCUCGGCACUCAUGGGGGUUACUGGAGCGGGGAAAACAACACUCCUUGAUGUUCUUGCUGGAAGGAAAACAGGCGGGGUUAUUGAAGGGGACAUAAGAAUAGGGGGUUAUCCUAAAAUUCAGCAAACUUUUGCUAGGAUAUCAGGCUACUGUGAACAGAUUGAUGUUCAUUCCCCACAAAUCACAGUGGGCGAAUCAGUUGCAUAUUCAGCCUGGUUGCGCCUUCCACCAGAAACUGAUUCAAAAGCAAGAGAUGAAUUUGUUAAUGAAGUUCUUGAAACAAUUGAGUUGGAUGAAAUUAGAGAUUCUUUGGUUGGAAUACCAGGGGUAAAUGGACUGUCGACGGAGCAACGGAAACGACUCACUAUAGCAGUCGAGCUUGUGUCUAACCCUUCAAUCAUAUUCAUGGAUGAGCCAACAUCAGGCUUGGAUGCAAGGGCAGCUGCUAUUGUCAUGCGUGCAGUCAAGAACGUUGCAGACACAGGUCGAACAGUCGUGUGCACCAUUCACCAACCAAGUAUCGAUAUAUUUGAGGCAUUUGAUGAGUUGAUGCUCAUGAGAAGAGGUGGAGAGUUGAUCUAUGCUGGGCCAGUUGGACAUCAUUCUUGUGAGGUCAUCCAAUAUUUCCAGGCAAUACCUGCGAUACCUAGGAUCAAGGACAACUAUAACCCAUCAACAUGGAUGCUAGAAGUUACUUCUACAUCUAUGCAAGCUCAAGUGGGAGCAGAUUUUGCACAAAUGUACAGGGCAUCGUCAAUGUGCAAGGACAAGGACAUGCUGGUAAAGCGCUUGAGCGUACCAGUUCCAGGCAUGAGUGACCUCCAUUUCCCAACACAGUUUCCGCAGAAGUUUCGGGAGCAAUUCAAAGCUUGUCUCUGGAAGCAGUGUCUGUCGUAUUGGAGAACCCCUUCCUACAACCUGGUGCGCUUGGCGUCCAUGUUAGGUUUCUGCAUUUUCUUCGGCACAUUGUUCUGGCAGCGAGGCAACAUCAACCACAUAAACGACCAGCGAGGCCUAUUCACCAUAUUGGGGUGCAUGUUUGGGAUCACUCUGUUCACCGGCACCAACAUUUGCCAGGCAGUGAUGCCAUUCGUCUCCAUCGAGCGAUCCGUCGUGUACAGGGAGCGGUUUGCAGGGAUGUACUCUCCUUGGGCCUACUCUUUUGCGCAGGUUGCCAUGGAGAUACCUUAUGUCCUGGUGCAGGUAGUGAUGUUCAUGCUGAUAGCAUAUCCGAUGAUAGGGUAUGCAUGGACAGCAGCGAAAUUCUUCUGGUUCAUGUGCACCAUGUCAUGUACGCUGCUCUACUUCGUCUACCUGGGAAUGAUGAUUGUGUCCCUCACCCCUAACAUCCAACUUGCUUUCGUACUUACAUCUGUGUGCCACGGCCUACAGAACCUCAUCUCCGGCUUUCUUGUGCCUUCACCGCAAAUACCGAGAUGGUGGAUAUGGCUCUACUACAUCUCCCCAAUGUCGUGGUCGCUCAAUGUCUUCUUCACCACACAGUUCGGGGAUUACAACGACAGGAUGAUAGUCGUGUUUGGAGAGAUCAAAUCCGUCGCAACGUUCGUGAAGGACUACUAUGGUUUUCGACGCGACCUGCUGCCGCUGGCAGCCAUGGUUUUGGCGGCGUUCCCCGUAGUUUUUGCUGUCCUCUUCGGUUACAGCAUCUCAAAGCUCAAUUUCCAACGCCGAUAA